ACCUCGGUGAUGUAGUGGUAGCAUGCUCCCCAGUAUGGAUGAAACGCGGGAUCAAAUCCCGCCUGAGGUC
This is a non-coding RNA of Parelaphostrongylus tenuis, 70 nucleotides long. Lineage: Eukaryota; Metazoa; Nematoda; Chromadorea; Rhabditida; Metastrongylidae. The record is from the annotation of a GenBank genome assembly.